Molecule: ribosomal RNA, 397 nt
Filed under: uncultured bacterium
Lineage: Bacteria
Description: partial 16S ribosomal RNA
Rfam family: Bacterial small subunit ribosomal RNA
Source: RNAcentral
AUACGUAGGUGCCAAGCGUUAUCCGGAUUUACUGGGCGUAAAGGGCGUGUAGGCGGUCUUGCAAGUCAGAAGUGAAAUUCCUGAGCUCAACUCGGGCGCUGCUUCUGAAACUGCAGGACUUGAGUGCUGGAGGGGAUAGCGGAAUUCCUAGUGGAGCGGUAAAAUGCGCAGAUAUUAGGAAGAACACCGGUGGCGAAGGCGGCUAUCUGGACAGUAACUGACGCUGAGGCGCGAAAGCGUGGGGAGCAAACAGGAUUAGAUUCCCUGGUAGUCCACACUGUAAACGAUGAAGGCUAGGUGUAGGAGGUAUCGACCCCUUCUGUGCCGCAGUAAACACAGUAAGCAUUCCGCCUGGGGAGUACGGUCGCAAGAAUGAAACUUAAAGGAAUUGACGGGG